CGAGAUCUAGUUAUUUUUAAAUGUAAUGUGGUUGUAUCUUAACUCUGACAUAUUGUUGUAGCUAUUAUGUUACAAUUUAUGAUAGCAUAAAACAGUCAAAUAAAAAUGUAAAUUUGUUACAUCGAUACAUUAGUAAUAAACGAAAAUGUUGUCAAAAAUACAGUCACAGUUAAAACCAGUUUCAAAAAAAAAAAAAAUACAGUCACAGUUAUUAUUAUUACUAAUUAGUGACUCAUAAUUAGUCACUUUUAUAGUCGUAAAUUGAUACUCUGUAUUAUGUCACAGUUACAUAACUAAUUUGCAACUAACAAUGGUUACAAUACAGUCACAAUUGUUACUGUGUUUAUUUCCGUCACAACUUUGUAUCAAGUUGAAACGAACUUUUACUACGUUUUAUUCCGUCUCACUAUUAUAACGAAAC
This 421-nucleotide long non-coding RNA is filed under the name Brassica rapa (field mustard). RNAcentral describes it as "long non-coding RNA (BRAP_LNC002547)". The record is from RNAcentral. Lineage: Eukaryota; Viridiplantae; Streptophyta; Magnoliopsida; Brassicales; Brassicaceae.